Pecten maximus is the source of this 1210-nucleotide long non-coding RNA. RefSeq lists it as uncharacterized. The transcript has 2 exons. NCBI's taxonomy places the organism in Eukaryota, Metazoa, Mollusca, Bivalvia, Pectinida, Pectinidae. The record is from RefSeq and is a predicted model, not a curated record.
GAAGAAUACAUAACUUAUGAUAUGUGUUACAGUGAUUUAGCUUCAACUAUAAUCCAUGUGGUGGGAAAUAUACAAGGAGGCAAAUAUUAUAACAAAGUUACUCUGACCAAAGUCCAGCCUUAAUAAAUUUGUUCUGUUUGUAUCAAAUUGGGGCUAUUAGGUCAUCCCUCUACAGAGCUGGAAGAGUUCAGGGGCUAUUAACCUCAGACUGACCACUGCCUGGAUUAAAUAGCGAGCUCUACGUCAUAAACAAGGGGGGACAGAACAGCCACGUGCUGCUGAGAUAAUCUCCUUCUCAUCCGGAACCCAAAACCCACGGAACCCAAUUUGAUUGGUCAAUUAGCAAAUAGGUGUUAAUGAGGGUCAUAUACAAUGUCACGCAAGCAUGUAUAUUUUGAUAUUAGUUGUAUAGUUUUUUGGUAAAUAUUUGAUUUUAACUUAAGCCGGGGUAAGUAUCCUUAAAAGUAAUAGGUACUCUUGGGCGGAAAUGCGUCACGGGUAAGUGUGCACGAGCUGGGUUGUUUACAAGGAAAGACAUGGUUCCUUUGUUCUGUGUACCCGGUAUGGAUUUAUCGACAUUUAACGGCAUGUGAACCAGGCACAGACUACAGACUGUGCUUCACAUGACGGGAGUUGAAGCCGUGCGGAUUAGUCAGAACCGGGCAGGAUGAUCCCUCUUAUACCAUCUCAGCAUCAGGACCGACCAGGAACGUGUGUUCAACCUGUUCCAUCAGGGUCAAGGUCAGCAAGGGUCUACUGAGGGCUUUUCCAUGCGGGAAAAGGUUGGCGACUUUCAAGUGAGCGUCACUGGCUUUUGAGGAACUGUAAACCCUAGUGGUUGCCGUUGUCUAUUAGACACUAGUGACAUAUCCUCUUGGAUAUGUGAGCUCUGGAUUGAGCUAUACAUAUAUAUAUAUAUAUAAUAUAUAUUUCAGUAUUUGUAUGGAUACCCACUGGCUCUGGAUUGAGCUGUUUCAUACAAUAUUGGAAAGACUGUUUGGCUCUGGAUUGAGCUGUUACAUACAUUAUUGGAAAGACUGUUUGGCUCUGGAUUGAGUGUUUUUUUUCAUCGUGUUGUGAUGCUACAUAGACAUUCUUAGAAUACUUUGUUGAGAGUGUGUGAGAUAGUGAGAGUGUAUGGUUGUAUUGUUGAUAUAUACGUUAUACAUAUUGUUUUCCAUUGUAAAUAAACAUAAUCAUAUUUGUGUAA